Molecule: long non-coding RNA, 781 nt
Filed under: Homo sapiens (human)
Lineage: Eukaryota; Metazoa; Chordata; Mammalia; Primates; Hominidae
Description: HSALNT0358132
Source: RNAcentral
UGCUUACCAAGUUCUAAGGCCUUACUGAUUUCCAGUCAACUUGUUCUAUCCAUUAUUGAGAGACGAGUGUUAUAGUCAGCAACUAUAAUUAGCCGUCUGUUCUCAGGCCAAGCUUGCUUCCUACUCUGCCAUAAGGUGAGCCAUCUCUACCUGCCUGGAGAUGGACCUGCGGUCAUCCAGUUCCACCAGUGCCUGGCUGGAGCUAUAAGUUGGUGCUGUUUGCCAGGGUUGGUGUCUACAGAGGGCCAGGGGAAUUCCAAGCGAGGGACUCAAGGAGAGCUUCUUGGACUCCUCAAGUUCUACCAGGAGGCAGUGCUAUGGUGUGCCCAACCCUCCCAGGGGCCUAAGUGGCCACCCUCUUGGGAAUGCCCAAAGCAUCUGCUAUUUAGGACUUGGUUACAGAGCACCAUCAGCUUCCCCAAGUUUGCAAGCAAGCAUUUUCCCAGGAGAUAGAGUGGCCAAGGUAUUGCUUGUGUCUGACCCCCUUCUUCUGUCUGAAACAAGGGCUACCCUCCACCCAGCCACUGUCUAAAGAGCUUCAUUUAAAGUUGGAUAAAGGCAGUUUCCGACUACAGGAGACCUGCAGACUUACCAUGUGUUCCUUGGAGCACCCUGGCUUAGUCAGGAUCUUUCUGAAUGCUCCCUUUGGGUGCACCUCUUGUUGAUACAAGCAAAAACUAGCAUAGGGACCCUGGAGCAGGAAGUGAAUAGGUAUUGUUGAAACCAUCCCAAUAAACCUUUAUGAGGCCCCUAUUCUGAGUUAGGCUGACUCAUGGCUUGA